This 253-nucleotide ribosomal RNA is filed under the name uncultured bacterium. RNAcentral describes it as "partial 16S ribosomal RNA". It matches the Rfam family "Bacterial small subunit ribosomal RNA", at positions 524 to 776 of the family's 1533-position model. The record is from RNAcentral.
UACGUAGGCAGCGAGCGUUGUUCGGAGUUACUGGGCGUAAAGGGUGUGUAGGCGGUUCUUUAAGUUUGGUGUGAAAUCUCCCGGCUCAACCGGGAGGGUGCGCCGAAUACUGAGGGACUAGAGUAUGGGAUGGGAAAGUGGAAUUCCUGGUGUAGCGGUGAAAUGCGUAGAUAUCAGGAGGAACACCGGUGGUGUAGACGGCUUUCUGGACCGUAACUGACGCUGAGACACGAAAGCGUGGGUAGCAAACAGG